GACGAACGCUGGCGGCGUGCCUAACACAUGCAAGUGGAGCGACGAACCGGACUUCGGUCCGGGCAAAGCCGCGAACGGGUGAGUAACACGUGGGUAACCUGCCCCGAUGAUUGGGACAACCCGACGGAAACUCGGGGCUAAUACCGAAUGUGCCCUACGGUCGCAAGACCGCUGGGGAAAGGAAGCUUCGGCCUCCGCAUCGGGAUGGGCCCGCGGCCCAUUAGCUUGUUGGUGAGGUAAAGGCUCACCAAGGCCACGAUGGGUAGCUGGUCUGAGAGGACGAUCAGCCACACUGGGA
This 298-nucleotide ribosomal RNA is filed under the name uncultured bacterium. RNAcentral's name for it is "partial 16S ribosomal RNA". It matches the Rfam family "Bacterial small subunit ribosomal RNA", at positions 28 to 318 of the family's 1533-position model. The record is from RNAcentral.